UGCCGUCGGGUUCUGGACCAUCGAGUUCUAGACUGUGUAGGCAAGUUAUGGACCAUGUCAGUAGGUUUUGGGCUGUUAGGUUUUGGAUCGGACUGGCGGGUUCUAGAUCGAGUCGGUGGGUUCUGGGCCAUGUUGGCGGGUUUUGGGCUGGACCGAUAGGUUUCGGGUCGUCGGGUUCUGGGUCGGACCGGGGGAUUCUGGGUCA
RNAcentral lists this long non-coding RNA (205 nucleotides) under Elaeis guineensis (African oil palm). RNAcentral describes it as "long non-coding RNA (EGUI_LNC048195)". The record is from RNAcentral. Lineage: Eukaryota; Viridiplantae; Streptophyta; Magnoliopsida; Arecales; Arecaceae.